This 1164-nucleotide ribosomal RNA is filed under the name Triticum aestivum (bread wheat). RNAcentral's name for it is "partial small subunit ribosomal RNA". Lineage: Eukaryota; Viridiplantae; Streptophyta; Magnoliopsida; Poales; Poaceae. The record is from RNAcentral.
AUGGCAGCCCUCGCCUCCCUUCUCCGCCGCCGCAGCAGCCGCCGCGCCGACUACGACGCCGACCGCGCCGUCUCCCUCCUCGAGGCCAUCGACACUGCCUCCCUCUCCGCCGGCUCUACGCGCCAUGCGCUCUCCCUUGCCGCACGCCGCCUCACCCGCGCCGGACGGCAUGCUGAUGCCGAGGCGCUCCUCUCCUCCCACAUCCCAGCUUCCCCAACCGAGCCGCAUCUCUCGGCCAUCCUCUGCUCAUACGCCUCCGCCGGCCUCCCCGAGAAGGCCCUCGAAGCCUUCCGCUCCGCCGCGCCGUCCCUCCCGUCCCCCAUCUCCCCGAUGCCCUUCAACGCCCUCCUAUCGGCCUUCGUCCGGUGCUGCCGCCACCGCCGCGUCCCGGUCAAGGAGUUCUCCAUCACCCCCAACGCCACCUCCUACGCCAUACUGGUGAAGGCUCACUGUAUGGUCCGCCAUGACGCCAAGGCUCACGAAGUGAUAGCCCGGAUGCGUGAGGAAGGUAUCUCGCCGACCACCACCAUCUACACCACAAUGAUUGAUUCCAUGUAUAAGCAGAAGAAGGUAGAGGAGGCCCAGACUUUGUGGAAGCAGAUGCUGGAAAGCGGAUGCAAGCCAGACCAUGCAACAUAUAAUGUGAAGGCCAUGCACCACGGACUCAAUGGCAAGCCGGAAGGUGUUCUCCAGGUGAUGGUGGAAAUGGAGGCCGAUGGAGUAAAGCCAGACACCAUCACCUACAAUUUCCUCAUGACUGCCUAUUGCAAAGAUGGAAAGAUGGAGGAUGCCAAGGCGCUGUACCGUUCGCUAGGUGACAAAGGGUGCUCAGCGAAUGCAGCCACAUAUAAGCACAUGCUUGCAGCGCUGGAGGCGAAGGAGGUUAUUUACGUGGUGACGAAGAAGUUCCCUGACACUAUGCUGUCUGGGUGGAAGAAGCUGGAAAAGGAGCUUGGGUUCUGCUCGGAUAGCGGAGAUACAACCCCUCACGCAGAAUGUACAGCUGAAGAACCAGUCUCUGAGUCUGAACCUGCUACCACCGAGGCACUUGAACUCAAAGAUUCUGCUGCUGAGGAAACGGGUGUGUCAGAAGAAUAUGAUGGUGAUGAAACGCCUUCACCUGAGACAUCCACUGAUGAGGAAGUGCCGAGGGGUCCUGCUUAA